GGACCAAGGAGUCUAGCAUGUGCGCGAGUCAUUGGGACUCUAACGAAACCUAAAGGCGCAAUGAAAGUGAAGGUCCGCCUUGCGCGGACCGAGGGAGGAUGGGGGGCCCCGAGGGACCCCCUCGCACUCCCGGGGCGUCUCGUUCUCAUUGCGAGAAGAGGCGCACCCAGAGCGUACACGCUGGGACCCGAAAGAUGGUGAACUAUGCCUGGUCAGGACGAAGUCAGGGGAAACCCUGAUGGAGGUCCGUAGCGAUUCUGACGUGCAAAUCGAUCGUCGGAACUGGGUAUAGGGGCGAAAGACUAAUCGAACCAUCUAGUAGCUGGUUCCCUCCGAAGUUUCCCUCAGGAUAGCUGGCGCUCGCAUCUAGCGAGUCUCAUUCGGUAAAGCGAAUGAUUAGAGGCAUUGGGGUCGAAACGGCCUCAACCUAUUCUCAAACUUUAAAUGGGUGAGAUCUCCGGCUUGCUUGAACUGUGAAGCCGCGAGAUAUCGGAUCAGAGUGCCAAGUGGGCCACUUUUGGUAAGCAGAACUGGCGCUGUGGGAUGAACCAAACGCCGAGUUAAAGCGCCUAAAUCGACGCUUAUGGGAUACCAUGAAAGGCGUUGGUAACUUAAGACAGCAGGACGGUGGCCAUGGAAGUCGGA
This 645-nucleotide ribosomal RNA is filed under the name Heterochelus defector. RNAcentral describes it as "eukaryotic LSU rRNA". It matches the Rfam family "Eukaryotic large subunit ribosomal RNA", at positions 663 to 1265 of the family's 3401-position model. Lineage: Eukaryota; Metazoa; Arthropoda; Insecta; Coleoptera; Scarabaeidae. The record is from RNAcentral.